This 232-nucleotide ribosomal RNA is filed under the name uncultured bacterium. RNAcentral's name for it is "partial 16S ribosomal RNA". It matches the Rfam family "Bacterial small subunit ribosomal RNA", at positions 99 to 334 of the family's 1533-position model. The record is from RNAcentral.
CGAACGGGUGAGUAAUGUCUGGGAAACUGCCUGAUGGAGGGGGAUAACUACUGGAAACGGUAGCUAAUACCGCAUAACGUCGCAAGACCAAAGAGGGGGACCUUCGGGCCUCUUGCCAUCGGAUGUGCCCAGAUGGGAUUAGCUAGUAGGUGGGGUAACGGCUCACCUAGGCGACGAUCCCUAGCUGGUCUGAGAGGAUGACCAGCCACACUGGAACUGAGACACGGUCCAG